GACGAACGCUGGCGGCGUGCUUAACACAUGCAAGUCGAACGGAAAGGCCCUGCUUUUGUGGGGUGCUCGAGUGGCGAACGGGUGAGUAACACGUGAGUAACCUGCCCUUGACUUUGGGAUAACUUCAGGAAACUGGGGCUAAUACCGGAUAGGAGCUCCUGCUUCAUGGUGGGGGUUGGAAAGUUUCGGCGGUUGGGGAUGGACUCGCGGCUUAUCAGCUUGUUGGUGGGGUAGUGGCUUACCAAGGCUUUGACGGGUAGCCGGCCUGAGAGGGUGACCGGCCACAUUGGGACUGAGAUACGGCCCAGACUCAUACGGGAGGCAGAAGUGGGGAAUAUUGCACAAUGGGCGGAAGCCUGAUGCAGCAACGCCGCGUGCGGGAUGACGGCCUUCGGGUUGUAAACCGCUUUCGCCUGUGACGAAGCGUGAGUGACGGUAAUGGGUAAAGAAGCACCGGCUAACUACGUG
Molecule: ribosomal RNA, 468 nt
Filed under: uncultured bacterium
Lineage: Bacteria
Description: partial 16S ribosomal RNA
Rfam family: Bacterial small subunit ribosomal RNA
Source: RNAcentral